Molecule: non-coding RNA, 109 nt
Filed under: Thermosinus carboxydivorans
Lineage: Bacteria; Bacillati; Bacillota; Negativicutes; Selenomonadales; Sporomusaceae
Also listed under: 1 other name
Description: TPP sequence
Rfam family: TPP riboswitch aptamer (THI element)
About the family: Vitamin B(1) in its active form thiamin pyrophosphate (TPP) is an essential coenzyme that is synthesised by coupling of pyrimidine and thiazole moieties in bacteria. The previously detected thiamin-regulatory element, thi box was extended, resulting in a new, highly conserved RNA secondary structure, the THI element, which is widely distributed in eubacteria and also occurs in some archaea.
Source: RNAcentral
AUAGUGUAACGAGGGAGCCCAUGUUAUGGGCUGAGAGUGGGCUAGUAAGCACCUGACCUCUUGACCUGAUCGGGGUAAUGCCCGCGUAGGGAGGUAUUUAAGCGCACCU